UUGAAGUUUAUUUUCACAGCUUGGCUUUUACUCAAAUGAGAGUUGAUAUCCCACACUACUUAUAUUUCUUUCAUGUUUCAUUUUAUGAAUUACAGAAAAUUGAUAUUUUUCUGCAGAUAUUACAAUAAGGAAACUCAUUUAAUCGGUUACAACAAUGGCAAUUCCUGCAUGUUCAGGAAGGAACUUUGUUUCCCAUUAUGAGGGGAAAAGUUAAAGUACUUUGUAUAGAAAAGAAAUAGUGAGUGUGUGAUGUUAUCUGUUCCCUCCUUUAUAUACCGACCAGUAACGUUGUUAGCCUAUAAACAGAGGAUUAACAGUAAGCCCAGUCACAUCAUUUGGAUUGUGAAAUCAAAACAUUCAUUUCAAUGUGUAAGUAAUGCAUUGUUGUAACAUUAGGCAUCGCUGCCACAUUACCAUUUGUAACAGGGCCUCUGUUUGCGCUACCAACCUUUCCGUGCAGUCAGUACACGAUGUGCAUAUAUCAGUUUUGUGAAAUUAAGCGAACUUCAAAAUGUCGUACCUAUUUGCCGUCUGAUUUUGAUGAAAUUUUCAGCGAUAGGCUUGAUUAAUUUUUCACUUUUUAUCCAAUCCAACCUUUUAUUGGGGUGGAUUUCCCCUUGAAAAAAAGAGAUUAUAUAAAAUGUGGUAAACUGUGGAGGUUUAAAUGGGGAGAGAAGUCGGUAGUUGAUUAAAGGAUAACACAGGUGAAAGUGGGGAUUGGAAAAUGCAAGUCAAUGGAAAUGCAAUUUAUUGAUAGAGUACAAUGAUCCAAACAGUUUAUAUACACAGCAUCUUCAUUGAUGGUGCCACAAACUUUUUUAAUUACACAAAAUAAUUGAUUCAACCCUUCAAGUCCAGAAACACAGGUCAAUACAGAAAAGUCUGAACUAUGAUAUGUGUGGCUGAAUUGCAGGAACAAAAGGGCUUGUGUGAAAUUCGUUCCUAAAUACACUGUACAGAUACAUAAUUUAAAAAAACAAAAACCAAAAAACGAUAACAUUACAGAGAAAAAGGAAACAUACGUUCAAUGAUCAAAUUCAAUAACCGUGUUCCAUUUUCGAGAAGUCUAUACAUAGUAAGAUUUAAUUGUUUCUCUCUCUGCUAGGACCAUUGAAAUAUAAUGCCAAGGGGCUGUUUUAUGAAAUCAUUUGUAAAGUUAUUUCGGAGUAAACAAAUGACUUGAACACCAAGUGCGACAAGAGAUUCCAAAUUUUUCCCAAUAAUAAAAAAAAUGUGACUUGUUUUCAAGCGAUUCUAUAUCAAAUGUCAUGUCGAUACACUUUGCACAAAAACAUUGUUUUAAAACAAAUAUUAUUGGAAAUGAACAUCAUUAUCAUCUCAAUUUGUGACUGAUUCAUUGAUUAAUUAGGCAAUGCACAUGGCUUGCCAUAUUCCAGUCACUCAUAAAAGUCAUCCCUAACUUUUAACCAAAGCUUUAUGAAGCAACCCUAGAAGUCGGGGGCAGCAUCUUAUAUAUUUAUUGUCCAUCCCAGCAAAGUCUUCCCAUUUCUUGCUGCAAUAGGUCCACUUCACUACCAAACACAUUGGCAGAGUAAUUUCAUGAACAUUCAAAAAGUACUAGUUACAAACAAGUCCAUACAAUCAUUACAAAAAUAAUUCCAUAUUCAUUAAGCUAUCAAAACAAACAAACAAAAGAGUCUACAGAGGAUACAAGGUUCAUGAAGUACAUACUUUGCAAUCAAGUAAUAAUAAUCUCAUUGAUUAGAAAAAUCGCUUUGGAAAAAAAAAAUAUGCAACAGAGCUUGUUGAAUCCAUAUGUACAGAAAAAGUAAUAAUAAUUCUAUUUUAUAACUGCCUACAACAAUGAAUAUACAGUACAAAAAUGUAUUUGAAAAAAAGUAUUAAGAAUUGACAAUUCAAAAAGUACUGUACCAAUGUCACAGUCUUGUUACGGCAUAGCCAUGGUUCGGAACGAAAAAUCUAGAGCACACUCCAGGACUGAUGUUGGCUUCAAUUACUUGGAAUUUCACUUGGAUAAAACACUGCUAAUUUUGGUAUUCAGUGAAUGAUUUCGCUUUAGUAUAUUACCCUAAAUCUAGGACAACUCUAGACAAGUCUGAUGCCAAUUAUUUUGAAAUAUUAUUGGCAGGUAAAGAUUUAUGCAGUACCACUCUAAAAGUACCACCUUUAGAGACAAACAUAUUUGACAAUAUAACAUCACAAUGCUUUUUUGGGGGGAAAUACUAUGAGCUAAAUACAAAAUAACUUAAUUUCUUUGCCAAGUAAAAUUAAAUAGUUUCCAAUAGAAUACCAGCCCACUUAUGUAUCAGAGAGAUAAAGCUACAACUUGUAUUGUUAGCAACCAACCAUUGCAAAAUUUCAAACCAGUUGACAUGGGGAGUGGCUUGGACAUCACACUUCUAAGGCCCCGUCUUCCAAAUGAGACUUAUCUCAAAUUGCGCAAAUAAGAGAUAAGAAAUGUGAUCAGUCUCCAUUUGAGUUUGAUUGAAUGUAUUGCAGUUGUUUGUAAGACAGGGUCUCAUCCUUUUUAAGCAUAUAAUUGUUGCUGAUAGUGUAAUAAUAAUAGUCCACUUUUAUAUAGCGCUUAAUACAUCAAAAUGACGUCUUUAAGCACUUUACAGAUAUAUUAGAGAGUGGCAAAGUGUGUAUUGACGCUUUGCCAAAGGACGCUAGGCCAUGAAUUCGAACACACGACCCUCUGACUGCAAGGCAAGAGUCAGAACCACUACACCACGACGCUUCCACUUUAAAUGCAAGUGUAGGCUUACAUAACUCAUUUGAUCUGUCCCAAGGCUGUCAGCUCAAGCCAGUAACCGGUAAAACUUGCCGGUUAUUCACUCGUCUCUUACCUGCUAUGAUACAUACAUGUAAACCAUGCCAAAUUCACAGAAAGAUAACAAAAUGCUUGCCUAAUGUACCUCCUAUGAAACUGAAAUUGUCUGCUUCAUAGUUAAUUAACAAGACCCCUGCUGUCCAAGCUAUGGUUUCAAAAGAAAGACAUGCAUUUUGAGAUAAAUGCUUUUAAUGGGCAAUUUGGAAUGUUCAAAAUAGGUUUUCAAAUUUAUAUCAAGAGAUAAUGUUAGUAUAAUAUCUAAGGAAUUAAUUGUGAAACUGAUGAAUUUCAUGACAUUACAAAAAUUUGAGACUAGUUUGAAUAUCUAAGAAAUCAUCACUGCACUUUUAACUUUUACAUGUUAUUCGAUUUUAGACCCUUCAGACACUUAAUGAAAACAAAAACAAUUUGCAGAUACAGACUACAGUAAGGCGCAAACGGUAAAUCAUUCCUUCAUGCGUGUAAUGACUAUAUAUAUUUACACAAUGGAGAGGUUCAAGGCAAUUAGCAAAUCAAUAAUGAUGAGUGCAUUGAACAUGACAUACUCUUUUGUUUUAAAAUACCAAAGGUCUUUGUUAUGUUUUAUUUACAAAGCCAUGCGGAUUACUUUACAAUAACAAUUUAUUCAGCUACCAGCAAUAUCUCAUGAGUAAUGAUCUGUAAUAGUUAUAAACAUUCCCUAUCAUUCAAUGUAAAAUGCCUAGAGUUUGUAUCAUUUAGCAAUCGGGGGAGCAUUUCAUCAAUACUGUCCGAUAAGAUGUCAGAUCUGACAACUUUCCUCGAUGUUGAUUGGCUAAAAAGCAGAGUUACUAUGGCAACUGUUGGAUAAAACGUCCGACAACUCCUUUCAUGAAACGCUCCCCAGGAAGAAAUAAUACUUCACUGUUUAUAUAUUACAGCUUGAAGCAAAAUAAGAACCAUUAACGCAUGAACUUAAUUAUGCUUUACCCAUACAAUCAUGCUCCAAUGACAAUUGCUUUGGUCUUAACUUAAAAUAAAGAACUAGGAUUGGGGUAGUGAUACAUUUUUCAGUUCAGAUUAAUAUCAGGAUAUCGAUAAGGGUGAGGAAUGAGAUAAGAUUUAGCGUUGGUUUGAUGUGUUGAUCAAUUGUCGCAAAAGCAUGUCAUGGAUUGUUUAUGGAUUAUUUCUGAGAAUGAAAGAAUGAGUUCAUAAAAAAUAGGCUAUAA
This 4002-nucleotide long non-coding RNA is filed under the name Lytechinus variegatus (green sea urchin). Its description in RNAcentral is "uncharacterized LOC121408431". The record is from RNAcentral. Lineage: Eukaryota; Metazoa; Echinodermata; Echinoidea; Temnopleuroida; Toxopneustidae.